AGUCGAGGGGUAUAGUUCUUCGGAACUAGAGACCGGCGCACGGGUGCGUAACGCGUAUGCAAUCUACCUUUUACAGAGGGAUAGCCCAGAGAAAUUUGGAUUAAUACCUCAUAGCAUAGCAAUCUCGCAUGAGAUCACUAUUAAAGUCACAACGGUAAAAGAUGAGCAUGCGUCCCAUUAGCUAGUUGGUAAGGUAACGGCUUACCAAGGCUACGAUGGGUAGGGGUCCUGAGAGGGAGAUCCCCCACACUGGUACUGAGACACGGACCAGACUCCUACGGGAGGCAGCAGUGAGGAAUAUUGGACAAUGGGCGCAAGCCUGAUCCAGCCAUGCCGCGUGCAGGAUGACGGUCCUAUGGAUUGUAAACUGCUUUUAUACGAGAAGAAACACUCCGACGUGUCGGAGCUUGACGGUAUCGUAAGAAUAAGGAUCGGCUAACUCCGUGCCAGCAGCCGCGGUAAUACGGAGGAUCCAAGCGUUAUCCGGAAUCAUUGGGUUUAAAGGGUCCGUAGGCGGUUUAGUAAGUCAGUGGUGAAAGCCCAUCGCUCAACGGUGGAACGGCCAUUGAUACUGCUAAACUUGAAUUAUUAGGAAGUAACUAGAAUAUGUAGUGUAGCGGUGAAAUGCUUAGAGAUUACAUGGAAUACCAAUUGCGAAGGGCAGGUUACUACUAAUGGAUUGACGCUGAUGG
RNAcentral lists this ribosomal RNA (692 nucleotides) under Flavobacterium sp. T108.09.B.BNT.SR.H.Fin.D.M. RNAcentral describes it as "bacterial SSU rRNA". It matches the Rfam family "Bacterial small subunit ribosomal RNA", at positions 60 to 752 of the family's 1533-position model. The record is from RNAcentral. Lineage: Bacteria; Pseudomonadati; Bacteroidota; Flavobacteriia; Flavobacteriales; Flavobacteriaceae.